AAAGGAAUUGACGGGGACCCGCACAAGCAGUGGAGCAUGUGGUUUAAUUCGAAGCAACGCGAAGAACCUUACCAGGUCUUGACAUCCCUCUGAAUACGGCAGAGAUGUCGUAGGCCCCUUAUGGGGACAGAGGAGACAGGUGGUGCAUGGUUGUCGUCAGCUCGUGUCGUGAGAUGUUGGGUUAAGUCCCGCAACGAGCGCAACCCUUGGUCCUAGUUGCCAGCACUUCGGGUGGGCACUCUAGGGCGACUGCCGGUGACAAACCGGAGGAAGGCGGGGAUGACGUCAAAUCAUCAUGCCCCUUAUGACCUGGGCUACACACGUGCUACAAUGGCCGGUACAAAGGGCUGCGAAGCCGCGAGGCGGAGCCAAUCCCAAAAAGCCGGUCUCAGUUCGGAUUGCAGGCUGCAACUCGCCUGCAUGAAGUCGGAAUUGCUAGUAAUCGCGGAUCAGCAUGCCGCGGUGAAUACGUUCCCGGGUCUUGCACACACCGCCCGU
This 498-nucleotide ribosomal RNA is filed under the name uncultured bacterium. RNAcentral describes it as "bacterial SSU rRNA". It matches the Rfam family "Bacterial small subunit ribosomal RNA", at positions 903 to 1397 of the family's 1533-position model. The record is from RNAcentral.